This 397-nucleotide ribosomal RNA is filed under the name uncultured bacterium. Its description in RNAcentral is "partial 16S ribosomal RNA". It matches the Rfam family "Bacterial small subunit ribosomal RNA", at positions 523 to 918 of the family's 1533-position model. The record is from RNAcentral.
AUACGUAGGGGGCGAGCGUUGUCCGGAAUGAUUGGGCGUAAAGGGCGCGUAGGCGGCGCGGUAAGUCUGGAGUGAAAGUCCUGCUUUCAAGGUGGGAAUUGCUUUGGAUACUGCCGCGCUUGAGUGCAGGAGAGGUUAUCGGAAUUCCCGGUGUAGCGGUGAAAUGCGUAGAGAUCGGGAGGAACACCAGUGGCGAAGGCGGGUAACUGGACUGCAACUGACGCUGAGGCGCGAAAGUGUGGGGAGCAAACAGGAUUAGAUAUUCUGGUAGUCCACACUGUAAACGAUGAAUGCUAGGUGUAAGAGGUAUCGACCCCUUUUGUGCCGGAGUCAACACAAUAAGCAUUCCGCCUGGGGAGUACGGCCGCAAGGUUGAAACUUAAAGGAAUUGACGGGG